RNAcentral lists this ribosomal RNA (253 nucleotides) under uncultured bacterium. Its description in RNAcentral is "partial 16S ribosomal RNA". It matches the Rfam family "Bacterial small subunit ribosomal RNA", at positions 524 to 776 of the family's 1533-position model. The record is from RNAcentral.
GACGGAGGGGGCUAGCGUUGUUCGGAUUUACUGGGCGUAAAGGGCGCGUAGGCUGCCUAGCAAGUUGGGAGUGAAAUCCCGAGGCUCAACCUCGGAACUGCUUUCAAAACUGUUAGGCUAGAGUAUGGUAGGGGAUAACGGAAUUCCUAGUGUAGAGGUGAAAUUCUUAGAUAUUAGGAGGAACGCCGGAGGCGAAGGCGGUUAUCUGGGCCAUUACUGACGCUAAGGCGCGAAAGCGUGGGGAGCAAACAGG